This 250-nucleotide long non-coding RNA is filed under the name Vigna radiata. RNAcentral describes it as "long non-coding RNA (VRAD_LNC008635)". Lineage: Eukaryota; Viridiplantae; Streptophyta; Magnoliopsida; Fabales; Fabaceae. The record is from RNAcentral.
GGUGGGUUUGAGCUGUUUUUAAUUUUCUUUUUACCAUUUAGGGGUUGUUGUGUUUUUUGGAUGUUUAUUGUGGUUCCGUUAACUGUGAUUUGAACUUUUGUUGAUCAUUUUGGGGUUGUUGUGCUUUUUGAAUUCAAAGUUUCAAUGUUUUAGGUUUAUGGUUGUUGUUGGGUUAUUUUGACUUAUCUUUUGUACAAUGUUUCCGUUGACAUAUAUUAAGACAAAUAGAUUCGCUAAAGAAAGAAAACAU